ACUAGGAGGACUCCUAGUAGUACUAGUACUAGCAUAGCUAAAGGUUCUAAUUUAGAUUAGCAACUAUUUAAUUACAUAGAUUAAAUACUUACUAGAUUUUAGAUAGAUUAGGUUAAAUAAUUAAAAAAUUAGGGAUAUAGGAGUAAGAAAGUUAGUAGGUAGAGGGCUAGUUAUAGGCAGGCUAGGGAUAGGGGUCCGUGCCCUAGGAAGAAGAAGUGAAGGUAAAGGUAGAGGUGAAGGUGGAUUUAUUUUGCAAAAGCUCUUCUUUAAAGAGGGAUCUAAACCUAAUCCUAAGGAUAGGGACUAUCCUUUCUCUACAGGAGGGGGUAGUGUAACAAUAAGGCAGAAUUGCCUGCCUAUUAUUCUAUGCCAAGUUAGGCCUAAUAAAGGCCUAACUUACUAAUGUAUAUAGAGAACAGCUCGCCUAUAGUUAGAAUAGGCAUGUUCUUCUUGUCCUUUCGUACAAGACCUAUAGGUGUAGGAAUCUUAUCCUUUUCUAUACAGACGCGCACUCCCAUAUGCCUUUAAGUCAUAUAGGAUACCUUUUAGAUGCCCUACCUACCUAAGUUAUUAUAAAUAGCGUAUAUUAAAGUUGUUGCAGUUAAAAAGCUCGUAGUUAAAAGUUAGGUCUAGCUAGCAGGUCCGCCUUACCGCGUGUACUUGUCUAGCUAGGCCUUCCUUCUAGAGAACCUUAUGCCCUUUACUAGGCGUGUUAGGGACUAGGACUUUUACUUUAAAAAAAUUAGAGUGUUUAAAGUAGGCCUUUGCUUAAAUACGUUAGCAUAGAAUAAUAGAAUAGGACGUACAGUCCUAUUUUGUUAGUUUCUAGGACUACUAUAAUAAUUAAUAGGGAUAGUUAGGGGCAUUAGUAUUUAAUUAUUAGAGGUGAAAUUCUUAGAUUUAUUAAAGACUAACUACUACGAAAGCAUUUGCUAAGGAUGUUUUUAUUAAUUAGUAAAUAAAAGUUAGGGGAUUAAAGAUAAUUAGAUACUAUCGUAGUCUUAACUGUAAACUAUGCUAACUAGAGAUUAGGCGAUGUUCUUUUUCUAACUCGCUUGGCACCUUAUAAGAAAUUAAAGUUUUUAGGUUCUAGGGGGAGUAUAGUCGCAAGGCUAAAACUUAAAGAAAUUAAUAGAAGGGCACUACUAGGCGUAGAGCCUGCGGCUUAAUUUAACUUAAUAUAGGGAAACUUACUAGGUCUAGAUAAAAUAAGGAUUAAUAGAUUAAGAGCUCUUUCUUAAUUUUUUAGGUGGUGGUGCAUAGCUAUUCUUAGUUAGUAGAGUAAUUUGUCUGCUUAAUUACAAUAACAAACAAGACCUUAACCUACUAAAUAGCUAGGCUAGCUUUAGCUAGUCGCUAGCUUCUUAGAGGGACUAUUAGCUUAAGCUAAUAGAAGUUUAAGGUAAUAACAGGUCUGUAAUACCCUUAGAUAUUCUAGGCUGCACGCGCGCUACACUAAUAGAGCUAAUAAGUUCUUUACCUUAACUAAAAGGUCUAGGUAAUCUUGUUAAACUCUAUCGUGCUAGGGAUAGAGUAUUGCAAUUAUUACUCUUUAACAAGAAAUGCCUAGUAAGCGCGUGUUAUUAGCAUGCGUUAAUUACGUCCCUGCCCUUUGUACACACCGCCUGUCGCUACUACUAAUUAAAUAGCUUAGUAAGGCCUUUAGACUAGCUUAGGGAGGUUAGCAACAACUACCCUAAGCUAGAAAGUUUGUUAAACUUGGUUAUUUAGAGGAAGUAAAAGUCGUAACAAGGUUUCUAUAGGUGAACCUGCAGAAG
Molecule: ribosomal RNA, 1778 nt
Filed under: Plenodomus lingam (blackleg of rapeseed fungus)
Lineage: Eukaryota; Fungi; Ascomycota; Dothideomycetes; Pleosporales; Leptosphaeriaceae
Description: SSU rRNA
Rfam family: Eukaryotic small subunit ribosomal RNA (bases 556-1778)
Source: RNAcentral